UCGCAAUGAUGAAGAUAUCUGUGUCUAGACGAUGAUCUCUUCGGAGAGUAAUCGGUGAUGGCAACACAACCCUCUAAGAAGCACUGAGCGA
This is a non-coding RNA of Thalictrum thalictroides, 91 nucleotides long. The record is from the annotation of a GenBank genome assembly. NCBI's taxonomy places the organism in Eukaryota, Viridiplantae, Streptophyta, Magnoliopsida, Ranunculales, Ranunculaceae.